RNAcentral lists this long non-coding RNA (408 nucleotides) under Homo sapiens (human). RNAcentral describes it as "non-protein coding lnc-MAP3K9-2:1". Lineage: Eukaryota; Metazoa; Chordata; Mammalia; Primates; Hominidae. The record is from RNAcentral.
CUCACACCUGUAAUCCCAGCACUUUGGGAGGCCAAGGUGGGAGGAUCACUUGAGGUCAUGAGUUUGAGACCAGUCUGGCCAACAUGGUGAAACUGUCUCUACUAAAAAUAUAAAAAUUAGCGAGACUUGGUGGUGCACGCCUGUAAUCUCAAUUACUAGGGAGCCUGAGGCAGGAGAAUCGCUUGAACCUGGGAGGCAGAGGUUGCAGUGAGCCAAGAUCGCACCACUGCACUCCAGCCUGGGCAAGAGAGUGAGACACUGCCUCCCAGAAAAAAAUAAAUAAAUAAAUAAAUAAAUAAAAGAGAGAGAAUGAAAAUCAAUAAGAUAUAUAAACUGUAAAAAGUAUAUUAGCUCUCAUAAGAGCAUUACCAGAACCCAAAUAUCAUUUCCAUCACACUUGCCCUGAGC